RNAcentral lists this ribosomal RNA (478 nucleotides) under uncultured bacterium. RNAcentral's name for it is "partial 16S ribosomal RNA". It matches the Rfam family "Bacterial small subunit ribosomal RNA", at positions 28 to 507 of the family's 1533-position model. The record is from RNAcentral.
GAUGAACGCUGGCGGCGUGCCUAACGCAUGCAAGUCGAACGGAGUCCAGCCUUUAAGACCUUCGGGUCAAAGAGGGGAAGACUGAGUGGCGGACGGGUGAGUAACACGUGGGCAACCUGGCUCAUAGAGGGGGAUAACAGAGAGAAAUUUCUGCUAAUACCGCAUAAGCACACACUGCCGCAUGGCAGAGGGUGAAAAGAGAAUCGCUAUGAGAUGGACCCGCGUCUGAUUAGCCAGUUGGCAGGGUAAGAGCCUACCAAAGCGACGAUCAGUAGCCGAUCUGAGAGGAUGAACGGCCACAUUGGGACUGAGACACGGCCCAAACUCCUACGGGAGGCAGCAGUGGGGGAUAUUGCACAAUGGGGGGAACCCUGAUGCAGCGACGCCGCGUGAGUGAAGAAGUAUUUCGGUAUGUAAAGCUCUAUCAGCAGGGAAGAUAAUGACAGUACCUGAAUAAGAAGCCCCGGCUAACUACGUG